Molecule: ribosomal RNA, 1978 nt
Filed under: human oral metagenome
Description: bacterial LSU rRNA
Rfam family: Bacterial large subunit ribosomal RNA
Source: RNAcentral
AUAAGUUAUGUAAGGGCGUAUGGGGGAUGCCUAGGCUCUCAGAGGCGAAGAAGGACGUGAUAAGCUGCGAAAAGUUGCGGGGAUUGGCACAUACGAGUUGAUCCGCAAAUAUCCGAAUGGGGCAACCCAGUAUAUUGAAGAUAUACUACAUCGCAAGAUGAGCGAACCCGCUGAACUGAAACAUCUAAGUAGGCGGAGGAGAAGAAAACAAAAGUGAUUCCCAAAGUAGUGGCGAGCGAAAUGGGAUUAGCCCAAACCCACUUUGUUACGGCAGAGUGGGGGUUGUAGGACCCAGAUAUAGGUUGUAAAGCUGGAUUAGAAGUGUUUGGAAAGACACACCAUAGAGAGUGAAAGUCUCGUAUAGGCACAGUUUUAUAAAUCUUAUGGGUAUCCUGAGUAGGUCGGGGCACGUGGAACCUUGACUGAAUCCGCCGGGACCAUCCGGUAAGGCUAAAUACUCCUGAGAGACCGAUAGUGAACCAGUACCGUGAGGGAAAGGUGAAAAGAACCCCGGGAGGGGAGUGAAAGAGAACCUGAAACCGUGUGCUUACAAGUAGUCAGAGCCCCUUGAGGGUGAUGGCGUGCCUUUUGUAGAAUGAACCGGCGAGUUACUUUAUCAUGCGAGGUUAAGUGGAAGACAUGGAGCCGAAGCGAAAGCGAGUCUUAAUAGGGCGAAAUAGUAUGAUGGAGUAGACCCGAAACCAAGUGAUCUACCCAUGGCCAGGUUGAAGUUUAGGUAACACUGAAUGGAGGACCGAACCAGGACACGUUGAAAAGUGUUUGGAUGAGCUGUGGGUAGCGGAGAAAUUCCAAUCGAACUUGGAAAUAGCUGGUUCUCUCCGAAAUAGCUUUAGGGCUAGCCUCGUUGUGAGUUUACUGGAGGUAGAGCACUGUUUGGACUAGGGGCCCAUCCCGGGUUACCGAAUUCAGACAAACUCCGAAUGCCAGAUAAAUAUCAACGGGAGUCAGACUGCGGGUGAUAAGGUUCGUAGUCGAAAGGGAAACAGCCCAGACCGCCAGCUAAGGUCCCAAAUUGUAUGUUAAGUGGAAAAGGAUGUGAUGAUGCACAGACAACCAGGAUGUUGGCUUAGAAGCAGCCACCAUUUAAAGAGUGCGUAAUAGCUCACUGGUCGAGAGACUCUGCGCCGAAAAUGUCCGGGGCUAAAGUGUAAAACCGAAGUCGUGUCAUAUGCAGCAAUGUAUAUGGGUAGGGGAGCGUUCUCAUCGGGCUGAAGCAGUACCGUAAGGAGUUGUGGACUGAUGAGAAGUGAGAAUGUCGGUAUGAGUAGCGAAAAGAAUGGUGAGAAUCCAUUCCACCGAAAGCCUAAGGGUUCCUGAGCAACGAUCGUCGUCUCAGGGUAAGUCGGGACCUAAGCCGAGGCGGAAAAGCGUAGGCGAUGGACAACAGGUUGAAAUUCCUGUACCGGUGUGAAUCGUUUGAUCGAUGGAGUGACACAGUAAGGUAGGUCAGCACGCGAUUGGAAGAGCGUGUUUAAGCAGGUAGGUUGAGCUAUAGGCAAAUCCGUAGCUCUAAAAGCUGAGAUGUGAUGACGAGUGACUAGCAAUAGUCGCGAAGUGAUUGAUCCUACACUGUCGAGAAAAGCUUCUAGGUAGAGACACAUCGCCCGUACCAAAACCGACACAGGUAGGCGGGGAGAGAAUCCUAAGGUGCGCGGGAAAACCCUCGUUAAGGAACUCGGCAAAAUGCAUCCGUAACUUCGGGAAAAGGAUGGCCGUAGCUGGUGAAGCUUUUUACAAGUGGAGCUGGAGACGGCGGCAGAAAAGAGGCCCAAGCGACUGUUUACCACAAACACAGGUGCCUGCGAAAGCGCAAGCUGAAGUAUAGGUGCUGACGCCUGCCCGGUGCAGGAAGGUUAAGGAGAGUUGUUAGUCUUUGGGAUGAAGCAGCGAACUGAAGCCCCUGUAAACGGCGGCCGUAACUAUAACGGUCCUAAGGUAGCGAAAUUCCUUGUCGGGU